RNAcentral lists this ribosomal RNA (500 nucleotides) under uncultured bacterium. Its description in RNAcentral is "partial 16S ribosomal RNA". It matches the Rfam family "Bacterial small subunit ribosomal RNA", at positions 30 to 523 of the family's 1533-position model. The record is from RNAcentral.
AUUGAACGCUGGCGGCAUGCCUUACACAUGCAAGUCGAACGGCAGCACGGGUGCUUGCACCUGGUGGCGAGUGGCGAACGGGUGAGUAAUACAUCGGAACGUACCUUAUCGUGGGGAUAACGCAGCCAAAGCUGUGCUAAUACCGCAUACGCCCUGAUGGGGAAAGCGGGUGAUCGCAAGACCUCGCGCGCUUAGAGCGGCCGAUGCCUGAUGAGCUUGUUGCGGGGGUAAAAGCCCACCAAGGCGACGAUCAGUAGCUGGUCUGAGAGGACGAUCAGCCAAACUGGGACUGAGACACGGCCCAGACUCCUACGGGAGGCAGCAGUGGGGAAUUUUGGACAAUGGGGGCAACCCUGAUCCAGCAAUGCCGCGUGAGUGAAGAAGGCCUUCGGGUUGUAAAGCUCUUUUGUCAGGGAAAAAACACCGGCUCUAACACAGUCCGGGAAUGACGGUACCUGAAGAAUAAGCGCCGGCUAACUACGUGCCAGCCGCCGCCGUAA